UUUGCCUACGGGGCGCAGCAGUGAGGAAUAUUGGUCAAUGGGCGGGAGCCUGAACCAGCCAAGCCGCGUGAGGGAUGACGGUCCUAUGGAUUGUAAACCUCUUUUGUCAGGGAGCAAAGGGCGCCACGUGUGGCGUUUUGCGAGUACCUGAAGAAAAAGCAUCGGCUAACUCCGUGCCAGCAGCCGCGGUAAUACGGAGGAUGCGAGCGUUAUCCGGAUUUAUUGGGUUUAAAGGGUGCGCAGGCGGAAUGUCAAGUCAGCGGUAAAAUUUCGGGGCUCAACCCCGUCGUGCCGUUGAAAC
This 301-nucleotide ribosomal RNA is filed under the name uncultured bacterium. Its description in RNAcentral is "bacterial SSU rRNA". It matches the Rfam family "Bacterial small subunit ribosomal RNA", at positions 334 to 633 of the family's 1533-position model. The record is from RNAcentral.